GACGAACGCUGGCGGCGUGCUUAACACAUGCAAGUCGAACGGAAAGGCCCUGCUUUUGUGGGGUGCUCGAGUGGCGAACGGGUGAGUAACACGUGAGUAACCUGCCCUUGACUUUGGGACAACUUCAGGAAACUGGGGCUAAUACCGGAUAGGAGCUCCUGCUGCAUGGUGGGGGUUGGAAAGUUUCGGCGGUUGGGGAUGGACUCGCGGCUUAUCAGCUUGUUGGUGGGGUAGUGGCUUACCAAGGCUUUGACGGGUAGCCGGCCUGAGAGGGUGACCGGCCACAUUGGGACUGAGAUACGGCCCAGACUCCUACGGGAGGCAGCAGUGGGGAAUAUUGCACAAUGGGCGGAAGCCUGAUGCAGCAACGCCGCGUGCGGGAUGACGGCCUUCGGGUUGUAAACCGCUUUCGCCUGUGACGAAGCGUGAGUGACGGUAAUGGGUAAAGAAGCACCGGCUAACUACGUGCCAGCAGCCGCGGUGAUACGUAGGGUGCGAGCGUUGUCCGGAUUUAUUGGGCGUAAAGGGCUCGUAGGUGGUUGAUCGCGUCGGAAGUGUAAUCUUGGGGCUUAACCCUGAGCGUGCUUUCGAUACGGGUUGACUUGAGGAAGGUAGGGGAGAAUGGAAUUCCUGGUGGAGCGGUGGAAUGCGCAGAUAUCAGGAGGAACACCAGUGGCGAAGGCGGUUCUCUGGGCCUUUCCUGACGCUGAGGAGCGAAAGCGUGGGGAGCGAACAGGCUUAGAUACCCUGGUAGUCCACGCUGUAAACGGUGGGUACUAGGUGUGGGGUCCAUUCCACGGGUUCCGUGCCGUAGCUAACGCUUUAAGUACCCCGCCUGGGGAGUACGGCCGCAAGGCUAAAACUCAAAGGAAUUGACGGGGCCCCGCACAAGCGGCGGAGCAUGCGGAUUAAUUCGAUGCAACGCGUAGAACCUUACCUGGGUUUGACAUGGAUCGGGAGCGCUCAGAGAUGGGUGUGCCUCUUUUGGGGUCGGUUCACAGGUGGUGCAUGGCUGUCGUCAGCUCGUGUCGUGAGAUGUUGGGUUAAGUCCCGCAACGAGCGCAACCCUUGUUCACUGUUGCCAGCACGUUAUGGUGGGGACUCAGUGGAGACCGCCGGGGUCAACUCGGAGGAAGGUGGGGAUGACGUCAAGUCAUCAUGCCCCUUAUGUCCAGGGCUUCACGCAUGCUACAAUGGCUGGUACAGAGAGUGGCGAGCCUGUGAGGGUGAGCGAAUCUCGGAAAGCCGGUCUCAGUUCGGAUUGGGGUCUGCAACUCGACCUCAUGAAGUCGGAGUCGCUAGUAAUCGCAGAUCAGCAACGCUGCGGUGAAUACGUUCCCGGGGCU
Molecule: ribosomal RNA, 1346 nt
Filed under: uncultured bacterium
Lineage: Bacteria
Description: bacterial SSU rRNA
Rfam family: Bacterial small subunit ribosomal RNA
Source: RNAcentral